GUUUACUUGUCAUGGUAAACUUAGAGUUUACUAGAAAAAGGUACAUGUCAUGGUAAACUUGGAGUUUACUAGAAUAAAAGUUCUGACAUGCGACACCCCAAAGAUGUGUAUACUGAGUAUAGAACAUAUAUUGAAGAAUCAAAAAAUUCUUUAUCACUUUUAAUGUUGCUUGUUCUCAUGAUAAGUUGGUUGGACCAACUAAUUUUGGGAUUGGAUCCCUUAAAAUCUAA
This 230-nucleotide long non-coding RNA is filed under the name Capsicum annuum. RNAcentral describes it as "long non-coding RNA (CANN_LNC008395)". The record is from RNAcentral. Lineage: Eukaryota; Viridiplantae; Streptophyta; Magnoliopsida; Solanales; Solanaceae.